Dallia pectoralis (Alaska blackfish) is the source of this 74-nucleotide non-coding RNA. Lineage: Eukaryota; Metazoa; Chordata; Actinopteri; Esociformes; Umbridae. The record is from the annotation of a GenBank genome assembly.
GUCAAGGUGGCCUAGUGGUUAGGGGCUAGGGCUUGGGUCUGGAAGGUCCCUGGUUCUAAUCCCUGGUUCUAAUC